UGGGGAAUCUUGCGCAAUGGGCGAAAGCCUGACGCAGCGAUGCCGCGUGCGGGAUGAAGGCCUUCGGGUUGUAAACCGCUUUCAGCAGGGACGAAAUUGACGGUACCUGCAGAAGAAGCCCCGGCCAACUACGUGCCAGCAGCCGCGGUAAUACGUAGGGGGCGAGCGUUGUCCGGAUUUAUUGGGCGUAAAGAGCUCGUAGGCGGUUCGAUAAGUCGGAUGUGAAAUCUCCACGCUCAACGUGGAGGGGCCAUUCGAUACUGUCGUGACUCGAGUCCGGUAGGGGAGUGUGGAAUUCCCGGUGUAGCGGUGAAAUGCGCAGAGAUCGGGAGGAACACCCGUAGCGAAGGCGGCACUCUGGGCCGGUACUGACGCUGAGGAGCGAAAGCGUGGGGAGCAAACA
RNAcentral lists this ribosomal RNA (403 nucleotides) under uncultured bacterium. RNAcentral describes it as "bacterial SSU rRNA". It matches the Rfam family "Bacterial small subunit ribosomal RNA", at positions 355 to 774 of the family's 1533-position model. The record is from RNAcentral.